UACUCCACAGCAUGGGAGAGGGCCUGAGC
Molecule: non-coding RNA, 29 nt
Filed under: Homo sapiens (human)
Lineage: Eukaryota; Metazoa; Chordata; Mammalia; Primates; Hominidae
Source: RNAcentral